GCCCUAGUAACGGCGAGUGAAGCGGCAACAGCUCAAAUUUGAAAUCUGGCGCAAGCCCGAGUUGUAAUUUGUAGAGGAUGCUUCUAGGUAGCGACCGGUUUAAGUUCCUUGGAACAGGACGUCAUAGAGGGUGAGAAUCCCGUAUGUGACCGGCCCGCACCUUCUACGUAGCUCCUUCGACGAGUCGAGUUGUUUGGGAAUGCAGCUCUAAAUGGGAGGUAAAUUUCUUCUAAAGCUAAAUACCGGCCAGAGACCGAUAGCGCACAAGUAGAGUGAUCGAAAGAUGAAAAGCACUUUGGAAAGAGAGUUAAAAAGCACGUGAAAUUGUUGAAAGGGAAGCGCUUACAACCAGACUUCUGGGCGGUGUUCCGCCGGUCUUUUGACCGGUCUACUCGCCGUCCCGAGGCCAACAUCAUCUGGGACCGCUGGAUAAGACCUUAGGAAUGUAGCUUCCCUCGGGAAGUGUUAUAGCCUCUGGUGAUGCAGCGCGUCUCGGGUGAGGUCCGCGCUUCGGCAAGGAUGUUGGCGUAAUGGUUGUCAGCGGCCCGUCUUGAAACACGGACCAAGGAGUCUAACAUCUAUGCGAGUGUUCGGGUGUCAAACCCCUACGCGUAAUGAAAGUGAACGGAGGUGGGAAGGGUAACCUGCACCAUCGACCGAUCCUGAUGUCCUCGGAUGGAUUUGAGUAAGAGCAUAGCUGUUGGGACCCGAAAGAUGGUGAACUAUGCCUGAAUAGGGUGAAGCCAGAGGAAACUCUGGUGGAGGCUCGCAGCGGUUCUGACGUGCAAAUCGAUCGUCAAAUUUGGGUAUAGGGGCGAAA
Molecule: ribosomal RNA, 820 nt
Filed under: Ramularia chamaedryos
Lineage: Eukaryota; Fungi; Ascomycota; Dothideomycetes; Mycosphaerellales; Mycosphaerellaceae
Description: eukaryotic LSU rRNA
Rfam family: Eukaryotic large subunit ribosomal RNA
Source: RNAcentral